This 431-nucleotide ribosomal RNA is filed under the name uncultured bacterium. RNAcentral's name for it is "partial 16S ribosomal RNA". It matches the Rfam family "Bacterial small subunit ribosomal RNA", at positions 29 to 507 of the family's 1533-position model. The record is from RNAcentral.
AUGAACGCUGGCGGUAUGCUUAACACAUGCAAGUCGAACGGUCACUUCGGUGAUAGUGGCGGACGGGUGAGUAACGCGUGAGAAUCUGUCUUCAGGUCGGGGACAACAGUUAGAAAUGACUGCUAAUACCGGAUGUGCCUUUGGGUGAAAGAUUUAUUGCCUGAAAAAGAGCUCGCGUCAGAUUAGCUAGUAGGUGGUGUAAGAGACUACCUAGGCUCCGAUCUGUAGCUGGUCUGAGAGGACGAUCAGCCACACUGGAACUGAGACACGGUCCAGACUCCUACGGGAGGCAGCAGUGGGGAAUUUUCCGCAAUGGGCGAAAGCCUGACGGAGCAAUACCGCGUGAGGGACGAAGGCUUUUGGGUCGUAAACCUCUUUUCUCAAGGAAGAUGAUGACGGUACUUGAGGAAUAAGCAUCGGCUAACCCUGUG